AGACAGCAGUAGCCGCGGGAAUACAGAGGGUGCGAGCGUUAAUCGGAUUUACUGGGCGUAAAGCGUGCGUAGGCGGCUUCUUAAGUCGGAUGUGAAAUCCCUGAGCUUAACUUAGGAAUUGCAUUCGAUACUGGGAAGCUAGAGUAUGGGAGAGGAUGGUAGAAUUCCAGGUGUAGCGGUGAAAUGCGUAGAGAUCUGGAGGAAUACCGAUGGCGAAGGCAGCCAUCUGGCCUAAUACUGACGCUGAGGUACGAAAGCAUGGGGAGCAAACAGGAUUAGAGACCCCGGUAGUCCCUGUCUCUUAUAA
Molecule: ribosomal RNA, 307 nt
Filed under: uncultured bacterium
Lineage: Bacteria
Description: partial 16S ribosomal RNA
Rfam family: Bacterial small subunit ribosomal RNA
Source: RNAcentral